Molecule: long non-coding RNA, 1615 nt
Filed under: Calidris pugnax (ruff)
Lineage: Eukaryota; Metazoa; Chordata; Aves; Charadriiformes; Scolopacidae
Description: lncRNA (ENSCPUG00000012405.1)
Source: RNAcentral
AUGCCCUGGGGACACUCUGGUCCUGCUGACAUUCCCAGAGUAGCCAGCGCAUUAAAAUGUAAUUUUAAAAGGAAUAAAGGUUUAAUCCAGUGGUGUUUGAAAACAGUUUUUUCCCCUUAUCCUGCUUUUGGCACGUCCUCUCCAGCUGGGGCAUCACACCUCGCUCCCAAACACGGGCACAGCUGGAACCACGGCCGGGCAGCCCCAAGCAGCAAACCAGCUGCUUUGGGCUUUCUGGACCCGUUGAGGACUUAUUCCUUUAUGGUGAAACAGUUGGGAACCGAAAAAGAAGAACCUCCUCUUGUCCAGAGGGAUGAUGAGCUGCUGGUUUCAUCUCCGGCACUGAUUUACUCUGUGACCUUGGUCAUCUCCCUUGUCUCCUCCAUAGAAGAUGUCCUGAGAUGCUCAUGGAGAUGCCACCAUUCCCAGCCCCACGGAAAGCCAAGGAUCGGUGUUUUUCAAGACAGUAGUCACAGAAUCAUUCAGGUUGGAAGAGACCCUUGGGAUCAUCGAGUCCAACCAUCUCCCCUACUCUACAUAGUCCUCCCCUACACCAUAUCCCUCAGUACCCCAUCUAAAGUCCAUCUUGAGUCCAUUUCUGCAGCAAAUGUCUGAUUAGAGGCUGCGACGGUGUUUUCUUCACAGGCUCUUUCUGCAUUCCUGCCUUUUAGUUCCUUGGGAAAGCAUCUGGUUUCCAGCUCCGGGUCUCUCCAAUCUGUCAUUUUCCACAAAUAUACAAACAUCCCUUUUUUCUGAUGAUGGAUUGGGGGGGAUGGUUGCACUUUGGCUUGGAUUGCACAGCCCGGACUGGAAGAGAAGGGCUUUGAAGUUGUGAAAACUUCACAUUCCAUGUCCUGCCAGCAGAACAGCGUGCAGGAGAGACACCAGUGCUUGGAAACGGCCACCCUGGCUCAUUUAUGCCUCAUCCAGCCUCACCCCCUAUAUGACCCACUCAUUUAAUUCACCUAAAGGGCAUCAUUACCCUCUGCUUACUCCACAGUAAGAGGGAGGGGGUUGGAUCUCACAUGGAUUUACACCAGGGGAUGUUCUCCUGGCCUCUGAGGGACCUCUUGGGACCACCGCUUAAAUAUAUAUACCCCACACUUAAAUCCCUGUAAUAAUACUGCCUCUGGGCCACUGGGGCUCCCUGUAAACCCACUCUGAGCUCCCAGAGGGACCACAUGCACAAAUUGCCUCAAAAAAAAAAAAACACCACCACCCUUGGAUUCAUUUCCACCAUCUCCAUCCCUUGUAUCCCAGGGAUUUGCUUUGGAGACCCCCUUCUCAGCGGCACCAGGGUGGCAGGAGCCGUGUCCGUCGGAGUGUGUCUCCCCAAAAGGAGCGUGAUGGGAUCUCAGGAACCUUCCCUUCAGUGUGUGGAAAAAUAUUAGCUGGUACCACGAUGAUUUUCUGCUGAUUUACUAGCCCAAGCCCUAAAUCAACGCUUGUCAGAGGCUUGAGUUACGUGCCUGGAGAUGGAUGGAACCAGCUGCCAGGAGGAAUUACCAAGCAGCAAACUCCAGUUUGAAAUCACUACAUUCUGCCUUGGAACCAGCUUGAAAUAUUCAGGUGAUUUAUACAGUAGGAAACGGCUUUAUGUCCUUUUUUUUUUACC